Molecule: ribosomal RNA, 439 nt
Filed under: uncultured bacterium
Lineage: Bacteria
Description: partial 16S ribosomal RNA
Rfam family: Bacterial small subunit ribosomal RNA
Source: RNAcentral
CUACGGGCUGCUCCAGUGAGGAAUAUUGCACAAUGGGGGGAACCCUGAUGCAGCAACGCCGCGUGGAGGAUGACGCAUUUCGGUGUGUAAACUCCUUUUAUAUGUCAAGAAAAUGACGGUAGCAUAUGAAUAAGCACCGGCUAACUCCGUGCCAGCAGCCGCGGUAAUACGGAGGGUGCAAGCGUUACUCGGAAUCACUGGGCGUAAAGGACGCGUAGGCGGGUUGGAAAGUCAGGUGUGAAAUCCUACAGCUUAACUGCAGAACUGCACUUGAAACUUCUAAUCUAGAGUAUGGGAGGGGGAGAUGGAAUUAGUGGUGUAGGGGUAAAAUCCGUAGAUAUCACUAGGAAUACCUAAAGCGGAGGCGAUCUCCUGGAACAUUACUGACGCUAAGGCGUGAAAGCGUGGGGAGCAAACAGGAUUAGAUACCCUAGUAGUC